This 253-nucleotide ribosomal RNA is filed under the name uncultured prokaryote. RNAcentral's name for it is "partial 16S ribosomal RNA". It matches the Rfam family "Bacterial small subunit ribosomal RNA", at positions 525 to 777 of the family's 1533-position model. The record is from RNAcentral.
ACGUAGGUGGCAAGCGUUGACCGGAAUUACUGGGCGUAAAGGGUGCGCAGGCGGUGGCCCGCGUGGGCGGUGAAAGCUCCCGGCUCAACUGGGAGAGGGCCGUCCAGACGGGGUCACUUGAGGGGCGGAGAGGGGCGUGGAAUUCCGGGUGUAGCGGUGAAAUGCGUAGAUAUCCGGAGGAACACCGGUGGCGAAGGCGGCUUCCUGGACCGACACUGACGCUGAGGCGCGAAAGCUAGGGGAGCAAACGGGA